Molecule: ribosomal RNA, 417 nt
Filed under: uncultured bacterium
Lineage: Bacteria
Description: bacterial SSU rRNA
Rfam family: Bacterial small subunit ribosomal RNA
Source: RNAcentral
AACGAACGCUGGCGGCAGGCCUAACACAUGCAAGUCGAACGCCCGUAGCAAUACGGGAGUGGCAGACGGGUGAGUAACGCGUGGGAACGUGCCCUUCGGUUCGGAAUAACUCAGGGAAACUUGAGCUAAUACCGGAUACGUCCGUAAGGAGAAAGAUUUAUCGCCGAAGGAUCGGCCCGCGUCGGAUUAGCUAGUUGGUGAGGUAACGGCCCACCAAGGCGACGAUCCGUAGCUGGUCUGAGAGGANGAUCAGCCACACUGGGACUGAGACACGGCCCAGACUCCUACGGGAGGCAGCAGUGGGGAAUAUUGGACAAUGGGCGAAAGCCUGAUCCAGCCAUGCCGCGUGAGUGAAGAAGGCCUUAGGGUUGUAAAGCUCUUUCAGCGGGAAGAUAAUGACGGUACCCGCAGAAGAAG